RNAcentral lists this long non-coding RNA (1397 nucleotides) under Marmota monax (woodchuck). The record is from RNAcentral. Lineage: Eukaryota; Metazoa; Chordata; Mammalia; Rodentia; Sciuridae.
UGUUACCAAAGCAGUUUACAUAUGUCCUUAUAUGCAUAUUUUUUAUUAUAUAUUUAGUGUUUUAUAGAAUUUUUUAAAGUUAACAUAUAAUGUAGAUAUUAAUUUUUUUCCUCUGCUAUAUAAAAAAAAAUGUUAUGGGCAACACAACCGUACAAUGAUGAUUUGAAAAUACUUCCUUGAAAGAGUUGGAAGCCCAUCUUGGUAAAUACAUUGCAAAUGAUUUGUAGAGUUUGACAAGGCUCUGAUGGCAGAAGAGCUUGGGUCUCUAACUCAAGGCUGCUGUAUAUAAAUUAGUCUCUGAAUGGUUAAUGCAUUUAAUCCAAUCCUUUUGACAUGUAUAAUAUGAUUUCCUGCCUUCAGGGUGAAUUCUGUUGUUCAAUACAACUUGAGAUGGUUUUAGCAACGGUUGCAGGUCUCAAAAGCUAAACUUUCUGUCCAAGAGGUACCUUGUACAAUAUCCUCAUACUCUCAUAAUAUGAAUUCGUCAUCGGAUGGAAAGACUUUCUGUUCCCUCGACUAAGUUAGCAUCAUCGUCUUCGUAGUAGCAUUACCUUAGACGUUAAAUUUGAAGUUACCUACCCUGUAGUACCUAGAUCCAAAGUUACUAUAGUCACCCAAGUCUUUUCAAAGGAUUUAAAAAACAAAAAUGAUAAUUUUACUCUCUUUCCAUGUAUCUGUUUAUGUGAAUUUUAAAAGAAGUCAUUCUCCGUCAAUGGAUUCAUCCUCUCUUGGCACAGUUUCUUAUAGAGGAUACGUGUCUCUCUGUAAUACUAGCGCCCUUCUUUUGUAUCAUAGUCAUACAUGCAGUUUGGAAGAUUUCUCCUGUUCCAGCAAAACAGUUGCUGCCGAGAAUUUUUUUUUCCUAUGACUAUAAAAGAUCUUUAGUACAAUUGUCUGGUAUCUUGAUGAAUCUCCUGCUUUGCAAUCUCUAGCCUUGUUGCUUUAUGAGCUUUUACCUUGUAAGUUCUCCAAAAUCACACGUUGGAAAAAUGACAAUAUCCACAAAGUCAUAUUCUUAUGAAAAGAGCUAUUUGUUACGGGGGAGGUUUUUGUAAACGGGCGUUCGUGGAACCCUAAUAUAAAAGGCAAUGCAAUUUUCUAUAAAAACUUUGACUUGUAAACAUCUGUCGCCUUUUCUUCUUUCUCAGAGAUCUCAAAAUUUGCCUGUUGUGGGUCGGGUUUUGCUUACCAAUAAUACAAGUUAAACUUUUUCAACCUUCUAGUUACAUUCGCCAAUAAAGACGUGAUCAGGAUUCGACCGGUGUCAAAAUCAGGUAACCGGGGGAAAAAAAUAGAUAUAUAUAUUGUCAGUAUUUCAAGCUGUGUUCCUUUCUUAGUUGGAUAUGGUUACUUCUAUGUUCCAAUAAAAUAAAAUUUAAAAUCACACUCAAAAAAAA